AUUUUGAUGCAUCAGCAAUGCCGACUGGCGCGCACACUCGCCGCAGCUCGAGUCCAUCACUUCAGCUAUUCAUGGAGGCCAUUAAUGAUUUAUUGAAUAACAAAUGAUGAGGACCGCCCCGUGUUUCUCGAGCCUCAUCUUCCGCUCGGCUCGGCUGAGUGAGCCGCGCUCCCAUCGCGAAGCCAGGCAUGUCGAGUAAAGAGACGCUACAUUGAAGUGAAAUGUGUGGCAAGAUAGACACAAUUUCAAGACGUAAUGGUGGCGAAGUGAUGCUGUUGCUGUGGAGGAUUAUGCAUCGACCGACCGGGACAAGACCUGAAGAGGAAUUUCAAAAUCCUAUGAAUAGAAAAAAUUCAAAAAGUGUGUUAAGGAACAUGUUAACUGAAACUUUUGGUGGAUUUAGCAAUUCUUAGGAAUUCAGGGUUUGUUGACUUUCCACUGUAAUUAUUUACAGAUUAAUCUCAAUUUAAAUGCCUGCAGAGGUAAAUUAAUAAAAAUAUACAAAAUGUAUCCCAAAAACAACUUUAGGGAUGUGUUUUUACUGAAAAUAUUGGUUGACUACUGAAA
Molecule: long non-coding RNA, 567 nt
Organism: Phyllopteryx taeniolatus (common seadragon)
Lineage: Eukaryota; Metazoa; Chordata; Actinopteri; Syngnathiformes; Syngnathidae
Exons: 4
Source: RefSeq, a predicted model, not a curated record